Molecule: long non-coding RNA, 485 nt
Organism: Piliocolobus tephrosceles (Ugandan red Colobus)
Lineage: Eukaryota; Metazoa; Chordata; Mammalia; Primates; Cercopithecidae
Exons: 2
Source: RefSeq, a predicted model, not a curated record
CGAGGUCACACACCACACCAACGCAGAGGGUGGGGCCCUGGAACUCAGGAGGGGGCGUGAUCUGGGGUGCUCUCUUAGCCACAGGGCCCCAUGGUACUGCUGAAGGGAGCUGUGGCUUGGGAUUGGCUGUGGAGGGACUGCAUGUUUUACCUGAUCAAUAAAGACUGCACCCAGCCAGAUAAGGACAUAACCAAGCACACUCCUCCACUAUCAGUCUUCACCAGAAGACUCUGUGACCAUAAAUGGAGCAAGACUUCAGCAGCUUGAAAUGGCCAUCUCAACUGACACCAUCUUGCUGUCACUCGUGAUAAGCACCCAGCAUCUCCCACCGAAGGCUCUGCCCACAUUAGUGACUCUGCUAUUAACAACAGCCAAGAUGCGGAAAAAACCAGUGUCCAUCAACAGAUGAAUGAAGAAAAUGUGGCACAUAUACACAACGGAGUACUAGUCAGCCAUAAAAAAGAAUGAGAUGCUGUCAUAUGCAA